This 430-nucleotide ribosomal RNA is filed under the name Pseudomonadota bacterium. RNAcentral describes it as "Proteobacteria bacterium partial 16S ribosomal RNA". It matches the Rfam family "Bacterial small subunit ribosomal RNA", at positions 355 to 776 of the family's 1533-position model. Lineage: Bacteria; Pseudomonadati; Pseudomonadota. The record is from RNAcentral.
UGGGGAAUAUUGGACAAUGGGCGAAAGCCUGAUCCAGCCAUGCCACGUGUGUGAAGAAGGCCUUUUGGUUGUAAAGCACUUUAAGCGAGGAGGAGGCUACUAGUACUAAUACUACUGGAUAGUGGACGUUACUCGCAGAAUAAGCACCGGCUAACUCUGUGCCAGCAGCCGCGGUAAUACAGAGGGUGCGAGCGUUAAUCGGAUUUACUGGGCGUAAAGCGUGCGUAGGCGGCUGAUUAAGUCGGAUGUGAAAUCCCUGAGCUUAACUUGGGAAUUGCAUUCGAUACUGGUUAGCUAGAGUGUGGGAGAGGAUGGUAGAAUUCCAGGUGUAGCGGUGAAAUGCGUAGAGAUCUGGAGGAAUACCGAUGGCGAAGGCAGCCAUCUGGCCUAACACUGACGCUGAGGUGCGAAAGCAUGGGGAGCAAACAGG